CAGUCUGUUUUGGUAUGGAGUCAGAGG
RNAcentral lists this non-coding RNA (27 nucleotides) under Cricetulus griseus (Chinese hamster). The record is from RNAcentral. Lineage: Eukaryota; Metazoa; Chordata; Mammalia; Rodentia; Cricetidae.